This 170-nucleotide ribosomal RNA is filed under the name uncultured bacterium. RNAcentral describes it as "partial 16S ribosomal RNA". It matches the Rfam family "Bacterial small subunit ribosomal RNA", at positions 335 to 524 of the family's 1533-position model. The record is from RNAcentral.
ACUCCUCGGGAGGCAGCAGUGGGAAUAUUGGACAAUGGGCGCAAGCCUGAUCCAGCAAUGCCGCGUGAGUGAUGAAGGCCUUAGGGUUGUAAACUGCUUUUAUGAGUGAAGAAUAUGACGGUAACUCCUGAAUAAGCACCGGCCAACUACGUGCCAGCAGCCGCGGUAAU